This 953-nucleotide small RNA is filed under the name Rattus norvegicus (Norway rat). Its description in RNAcentral is "uncharacterized LOC102552678". The record is from RNAcentral. Lineage: Eukaryota; Metazoa; Chordata; Mammalia; Rodentia; Muridae.
ACCAUUAGCCACGGACAAGAGUGUGUCCAUUUCAGCAAAAUUAAUAAGAGAUAGCAUUUUUCUUCCUUCUAAAUGGCCCUGUCAGUAAUUAACAUGGCUUCUCGUUAUUCAGCUUGAAAGGUUUUCCAGGCUCCCCAUGACCUUGCCUGGCUUUGUUAAACUGUGGCCUCCAGCCUGGGAGAGAGACCUAAAUACAGGGAAAGCACUCCUGACACCAGCUCCCCAGAUGCUUCAGAAAUCAGCCCAGGAAUAUUUAUUGAGUGCCUACUGUGUGGGGCUGCCUCAUUGAAACAGACAGUAGGUUCUGAUGGGAGGAACUUUAGAAGAGAAGAUAAAAAGAGGUUUGUUUAAAUGAGUCCUCAAGAUAACAGAGAGCUAUGGUGAUCAGAGGACAAGGGCCAUCCGUGGCUGUGGGGAGUGGGGCUGAGAGUGAGCCAAGGCAGACCCGAGGAAUUCUUACAGGAGGAAACUUUGGGGGAAGCACUCUUGCUGGUAUUCAGAGCACAAAGAAGAUGCAGACCCGCAGCUAAGUUCUCACUCCAAGAAAGGAAAACUGCCUGUUCAAGCUUUGAUGUCACACAGUUUCCUGCUGAGACCCCAGGAAGAUGGCAGAAGUAGGGUGCUUCUUGAACUGACUUCUCGUUUGCACUGGAGACUCAUUUACACUUCAUUGAUUCCAUGAAACUCUGGCUUCUGGGUCCUGAGUGGAAGAAAGAGUUUAGUGUUUAAAAUAUGGCUCCUGAAAAAGAGCGUGCCUCAAAAAACUCUCGUCUCUUCUGUGUCUUGCAUAAUUUACAUGAGGUUAGUUAACAUCAAAAAAUUAGUAAAUCUGAUAUCCAAUAAAGACACCUUUGGUUUACUUUCCUAUGAAAAUGUUCACUGCUCUUUCAACUGAAUUUUUUUAAAAUUUUAUUUUAUAUAUGAGUGUUCUAUCUGCAUGUACACCUUCAUGC